UGUGCUGACGGACAAGCACGAGGCCACAAGGAUGGGGCCAGGACAGCCGCAGGAUGCGGUUUCAUCAGGAUGAUGAUCAGGAAUACAGGGAGCAUGGAAGAAGCCGGGCGGGGUAUACCCCGCCCCUUUUUU
This 132-nucleotide small RNA is filed under the name Stutzerimonas balearica DSM 6083. The record is from RNAcentral. Lineage: Bacteria; Pseudomonadati; Pseudomonadota; Gammaproteobacteria; Pseudomonadales; Pseudomonadaceae.